UACGGAGGGAGCUAGCGUUGUUCGGAAUUACUGGGCGUAAAGCGCACGUAGGCGGCGAUUUAAGCCAGAGGUGAAAAGCCCGGGGCGUCAACCCCGACCGUAACGUCGUUCGUUAGACGUACGGUAGUUAGUUCGUACGUAAAGUAACUUUCGGUUAGGGAAGGGACGGGACGGUAGGGUAAGGUUAACCGUUACCGGUAGGUUAGGUAAGGGUA
This 215-nucleotide ribosomal RNA is filed under the name uncultured bacterium. Its description in RNAcentral is "partial 16S ribosomal RNA". The record is from RNAcentral.